This 839-nucleotide ribosomal RNA is filed under the name uncultured bacterium. RNAcentral's name for it is "bacterial SSU rRNA". It matches the Rfam family "Bacterial small subunit ribosomal RNA", at positions 556 to 1398 of the family's 1533-position model. The record is from RNAcentral.
GGGCGUAAGGGUGCGUAGGUGGCGAUGUAAGUCUGGUGUGAAAUCUCGGGGCUCACCUCGAAAUUGCAUUGGAUACUGCGUUGCUUGAGGAUUGUGGAGGAGAGUGGAAUUCACGGUGUAGCAGUGAAAUGCGUAGAUAUCAUGAGGAAGACCAGUUGCGAAGGCGACUCUCUGGGCAAUUCCUGACACUGAGGCACGAAGGCUAGGGGAGCAAACGGGAUUAGAUACCCCGGUAGUCCUAGCCCUAAACGGUGCACGUUUGGUGUGGGCGGGUUCAGACCCCGUCCGUGCCGGAGCUAACGCGUUAAACGUGCCGCCUGGGAAGUACGGUCGCAAGAUUAAAACUCAAAGAAAUUGACGGGGGCCCGCACAAGCAGUGGAGUAUGUGGCUUAAUUCGAUGCAACGAAAAGAACCUUACCUGGCCUUGACAUGCAUCUCUUAUUUAAUGAAAUUUAGCAAGUUGGCACCAAUGUCAACGAUUUGCACGGGUGCUGCCUGGCUGUCCUCAGCUCGUGUCGUGAGAUGUUGGGUUAAAUCCCGCAACCAACGCAACCCCUGUGUCCUGUUGCCCUCGAAGAUCUCUGGACAGACUGCCCUGUGAAACGGGGAGGAAGGUGAGGAUGACGUCAAGUCAGUAUGGCCCUUACGGCCAGGGCUGCACACGUACUACAAUGCUCACAACGGCUGAACCAGGACAGCGAGAUGGAGGAAAUAGAUAACUCUGGGCUCUCUAGUAUCGGAUGCUGCUCUUCCUCUUCGAUGCUGCUGGCAUCACUAGUAUGGCUCAUCAGCUACAGCGUCGAUGAUACCCUGCACGGCUAGUCCCCCCCCCCCGGUC